GCGGGUGUAGCUCAGUUGGUAGAGCGACAGCCUUCCAAGCUGUAAGUCGUCAGUUCGAACCUGAUCACCCGCUCCA
Molecule: transfer RNA, 76 nt
Filed under: Aureibacter tunicatorum
Lineage: Bacteria; Pseudomonadati; Bacteroidota; Cytophagia; Cytophagales; Persicobacteraceae
Description: tRNA-Gly
Rfam family: tRNA
About the family: Transfer RNA (tRNA) molecules are approximately 80 nucleotides in length.
Source: RNAcentral